CCUGAAAUCAACGUGGCUCUGGUUCCGUGACGGGAA
This 36-nucleotide small RNA is filed under the name Bombyx mori (domestic silkworm). RNAcentral describes it as "ovarian small RNA-14022". The record is from RNAcentral. Lineage: Eukaryota; Metazoa; Arthropoda; Insecta; Lepidoptera; Bombycidae.